This 66-nucleotide transfer RNA is filed under the name Rhabdopleura compacta. Its description in RNAcentral is "transfer RNA-Pro". Lineage: Eukaryota; Metazoa; Hemichordata; Pterobranchia; Rhabdopleurida; Rhabdopleuridae. The record is from RNAcentral.
CAAAAGAUAGUUUAGACAAAACACUAACCCUGGGAGUUAGAAACACAGAAUGAACUGUUCUUUUGA